GGAGGAGAACUAAAAGCAAAAAGGGAUUUCAAAAAGAUGCUUGGGGAAAGAACAAGUUUACCUAAUCACAUGUGCCAUGCCAUAAUAGCUCUUAUUUCUCUGGGUUCAACAGUAGUGUUGAGAGCUGUAGUAUUUAUUUUAAUUCUACUCACUGUACCUUCCACUGAAAAUAAAGAAGUGGAUGAAGCUACUAUAAGGUGAUGGUGUCCAAAAUCUGAUUGAUAUCAGCGGCCUAAUGCAAAACCUUUUGCAAGUCUAAAAAAAUUUUGUCCUUAAUUUCAGUGAGUUUUAGAGCUAAGAUUUCUUUCCUCUUAGUAUCUAGCAGAAGUGCCCUAAUACCUGCUCACUGCAGCUGAGUGUGUGAGAUGACAUGAUUCUCUGUGACUUCCAGCUGUGUAGCCUACUGUAUCAAAGCCAGAGGAAUUCACUGAGCCCCCCACAACAUAAAUUUUAGAAGCAGAAGUCCUAGCUGCUCCCAUAUGAAAUGAAACAUCUCGCUGUUUACAAAAAUAUCAGGAAAAAAAAUAUUGCAAAUCCUCUUUGCCGAAAUGCACAAGAAGUGUAAAGGCAUGUCAGUAAGAACAAUAAAAUAGAAAUGUAAAUAAACUGUAAAUGGAAAUAUAUUCUGGGGUUAAAAAAUUAGAAAAGGAGAGGAGGGCUAGACUGGGAGAACAGAAUGUGUACAAGGUGGGUAGAUACAAUCUAGGUGUAGAUACAAUCUAGGUUACUCUUCACCUUAUAGAUGAACAUUUCUGAGCAGCAAAGAAAGACAAAGAACAGCCUUAAUAACAGGGAGCACAUGAAGGUCAAAAAACACAUGGGUCUUAGAGACUCAUUUACUGAUUUAAUCCAGCAUUUUGAAUUUACUGAAGCUUGAAAACAGACGUGCUGGAAACCAUUAGAAAAGAAUGCUGUGAAAGGCAAAGUAUGAAGCAACUUGAUAUGUUCACUGAUGACAGCACACAAGCAAGGAGACCUCCACCCAAGUAAUAUGUUUCAUUUUUACAUCAUUAACCUGGAUGGAACGAGGACAUGGUUAAGAUCUGAACACCAAUGAUCCCCACAGCCUGUGAGCAGUGAGAUCUAUAAUUCUGAUGAACCUUGGGAAAUCAUAAAGAAAGUGGUAUUUAGAUAGGAAUAUCCUAAAAAUUACAGAAAUCUGGGGCCAAACAGUGAGGAAAAUUGGAAGGAGCAAAGAAAGAAGUGGAAAUCUAAUGAAUCAGAUGACAGAAUUUGGUGCCUAAAGACCAAAGUUUGAUUUCUCAGUAACUUAGGAAAGCAAUAAGGUUCAGUGUAAAUCCUAUUGAAACUUAGAUUAUUGCUUUUGCCACUGAGCUCAUGUCUUGGUAGGGCUUUCUGCCUGAAUCAGACUCUUAUAUGAGACACUUUAAUUGUGAUUGCUGGGCAGCAGUAAAUGGUGAGCCUAAAGGACUGAUAAUACUUAAAUCAAGCCAGUGAAUUGGGAGAACAGGCAGAGCAGUGGGAAACACCAAAGAAGACAAAAAGUGACAAAGUAAUGAGUUACCUGCAGUCAAGGAGGAUGGUAAUUGCUGGUAGAAACAAGUGUAAGCAUGCCUCAAAGGAAAAGUUGAUGACUUUCUACUUUGAGGUGGUUAUUUUUUAAAAAUGUAUUUCCAUAGACUGUUGGCCUUGUGAUGGCCUGACCUGAGCUAUCUCAGGAUUGGCUUUAGUUUAGUUUCAGAACUAGAACAAGAACACAAGUUGGUGCUCAAGAAAAACUCAAACUCCUCCCAAAAGUCAAAAUAUACUUUUCUCUCUAUAUUUCCCUCCCCCCCCCCAUAUUAGAAAUGCUGAUUUGGGAAAGUAAAGUUUUAUAACAAGGUUAAGCAAGUGAAUCCUAUCUUAUUUUAAAUGUAGGUUCAUGAUUUUCAUCUGUAUCUCUUGCUUUAGAUUCUUCCAGACAAAUGAGUUAUUGCAAUACAUUUAGAAUCUUGCAGAGUUUAAGAUAUGUGCUCAUUAUAUCCUGUAGUAAUCAAAUACUUAAAAAUAAUCUUCCCUUCUAUUUCAGACACUAAAAUCUCUGCUGAACUAUGAAGAAAUUAGCUAAGUGAAGGAAAGAAGAAAAGGUGGCUGAACAGGUUCUUUCCUUAUAAAAAGAGAAUGCUUCUCUUUUCUCCGUGGCCAAAUACAGGCUUCUCCUUAUUUCUUUCUAGAGCCAAACAUACCAGAACUCACAAGCAAAUUUAACUGAAACAGGACACACUGCAAAAACUGUUUUACAAAAUGACAGAGGUCAAAGAGACCUCUGAAAGUUGCCUAAUCCAACAUCCUUGCUCAAAGGAGGGGCAAUUAGGGCAGGUGGCUCCGUCAAGUUUUGAGUAUCUCUGAAGAUGGAGGCCCCUCAACUUCUCUGAGCAACUUGUUCUAGUGUUCAACCACCUGUACAAUAUGAAAGCUCUCUCAUGAUCAAAUGGAACUUCUUGUACCUCAACUUGGGCCCCUUGCCUCCUGUCCUUUUCUUAGGCACCAAAGAGAAGAGUCUUGCUCUGUCUUCUUUGUCCGUAUCUCCUUCAGGCAUUUAGACACAUUGAAAAGACCCCCUGCAGGUCUCCUUGUCUAAAUGAAGAGUCUUAGCUCUAUUGGCCUCUAUUCAUAUGUUGGAUAUUCUAAUACCUCAAUCAUCUUCAUGCUCCUUUGACAAACUCCAGUACAUCCGUAUCACUCUUGCACAGAACUGGACCCAGCACUGCAGAUGUCAGUCACUAAGGCUGGGCAGAGGGAAGGAUCAGCUCUAUCAACCUGCUGUUGUUGCUCUGCCUGGAUAGUCCAGAAGUACAAGUGCACAUUCCUGGCUUCUGGUCAACUAGUUCUGGUCAAUAAGCUCUCUCCAAUACUGCUUUCUAAUGGAUUUUCUAAUCAGACUGUGCUGGUACACAGGAUGAUACCCUUCCAGGGGAUGGAAGUGGUAUUUUCCUUUGCUGACUUUUCCUUUGCCAAAGCAGGGAAUUGCCUCAGCUAGUUGAGGAUUAGCUCUGUCAGAGAGUAGCUGCUGGGCACCAUUGUCAUGUGAAUGGCAGCGGCAUUCUGACAUCACAGGGGCAGAGCCAGGAGCAGCAGGGUCACCCACUGUGUGUAUAAAUGCUGCUACUAGGGAGCGCAGCAACACAGGAGUAGCACCAACAGGAUGGGCAACCAGCACACACCCUCCUGCCUGCAAACAAAGAUCUCUGUAAGAACUAAUUCCUUUCCAAACUUUGAAAAGCUGUGGAAAAGUCUAUGGAAGCAAUGCUGGAGCCCAGGAUAGCCAGCAAUUAGGCAAUGCUCAGGAAUGCUGGCUCUCCUAUGUUCCUGUUCUUCAUGUAUGUAGUGACUAAAACAGUACUUUUAGUGGUCAGGUAGGCCAGCUCAUCAGUAUUUCAAAUUGCCUUUCUUAAGUAGGAAAGUCGAAUAAAUACAAGUCAGAUCACGAUUUCUAAUUUUCCACGUCUUCUACA
Meleagris gallopavo (turkey) is the source of this 3455-nucleotide long non-coding RNA. RefSeq lists it as uncharacterized. The record is from RefSeq and is a predicted model, not a curated record. Lineage: Eukaryota; Metazoa; Chordata; Aves; Galliformes; Phasianidae.